UGACAACUGCGAUGUGCCUCCGUCAGCACUCCAACCACUGGGGACGGCAUGACAGAUUAAACACCAACUAUGUGCCAGGCCAGGCCCUGUGCUAGAUGCUGGGGCAGUGACAGACCCUGAGUGGAUGGGAGGCAUCAGAGGGCAAAGAAUGAGUGGGGAGAUCUGAGAAUCGAUACUGAACAGCUUCAGUACUACGAUGUCAUAAUGGGGCUGUGAGCUCAGCCGAAAGCCCCCCGCCCAGUUUUUUUUGGAAGUGGUCAUAGAAUCUCUCUGGAGAAACAACAUGGAAAUGGAGACCAAAAGAGGGAAGGAGGGAUGCCACCAGAUGACACUGGGAUCCCGGAAGACGGAACACUGUGUGCAACGGGCAAAGAACUUUUCAAAAGGGAUUUCAACCUCUGACCACCUGGAGACAGGCGACUGGCGCUCAUUGUAAAUGCACCGACAUGACAGGGAACAGCUGCUGGGGAGGUGGAGACGGGUGCCGGGAGAGACAGGAAACCCCAGAGGCUUGGAAAUCCAGGAGCCACAGGAAGCAGUGAGCUUUCUGCGGAGCCGGAUCCGGUGGAGCCAAUUCACCAGCAGGUCCCGGCAGCAACUCUUCUACAACAGAUUCCUGCCCGUCCCUGUGCCCCAUCGCCCCCCUGCCGUCAAUCUCCACCUCAAGGGAGCCAGACCAAGCCUUUCUGUGUGUAGCGCACAUCUCUCCUGCGUAGAGCUCACCUAGUGGCUUCCAUAGCUUUUUUUUUUUUUUUUU
This 757-nucleotide long non-coding RNA is filed under the name Homo sapiens (human). Its description in RNAcentral is "HSALNT0370424". The record is from RNAcentral. Lineage: Eukaryota; Metazoa; Chordata; Mammalia; Primates; Hominidae.